AUGGGGAAACCCAGCAUGAGUUAUGUCAUGUUAUCGAUAUGUGAAUACAUAGCAUAUCAGAAGGCACACCCGGAGAACUGAAACAUCUUAGUACCCGGAGGAAGAGAAAGAAAAUUCGAUUCCCUUAGUAGCGGCGAGCGAAACGGGAAGAGCCCAAACCAACAAGCUUGCUUGUUGGGGUUGUAGGACACUCUAUACGGAGUUACAAAGGACGACAUUAGACGAAUCAUCUGGAAAGAUGAAUCAAAGAAGGUAAUAAUCCUGUAGUCGAAAAUGUUGUCUCUCUUGAGUGGAUCCUGAGUACGACGGAGCACGUGAAAUUCCGUCGGAAUCUGGGAGGACCAUCUCCUAAGGCUAAAUACUCUCUAGUGACCGAUAGUGAACCAGUACCGUGAGGGAAAGGUGAAAAGCACCCCGGAAGGGGAGUGAAAUAGAACCUGAAACCGUGUGCUUACAAGUAGUCAGAGCCCGUUAAUGGGUGAUGGCGUGCCUUUUGUAGAAUGAACCGGCGAGUUACGAUUUGAUGCAAGGUUAAGCAGUAAAUGUGGAGCCGUAGCGAAAGCGAGUCUGAAUAGGGCGUUUAGUAUUUGGUCGUAGACCCGAAACCAGGUGAUCUACCCUUGGUCAGGUUGAAGUUCAGGUAACACUGAAUGGAGGACCGAACCGACUUACGUUGAAAAGUGAGCGGAUGAACUGAGGGUAGCGGAGAAAUUCCAAUCGAACCUGGAGAUAGCUGGUUCUCUCCGAAAUAGCUUUAGGGCUAGCCUCAAGUGAUGAUUAUUGGAGGUAGAGCACUGUUUGGACGAGGGGCCCCUCUCGGGUUACCGAAUUCAGACAAACUCCGAAUGCCAAUUAAUUUAACUUGGGAGUCAGAACAUGGGUGAUAAGGUCCGUGUUCGAAAGGGAAACAGCCCAGACCACCAGCUAAGGUCCCAAAAUAUAUGUUAAGUGGAAAAGGAUGUGGCGUUGCCCAGACAACUAGGAUGUUGGCUUAGAAGCAGCCAUCAUUUAAAGAGUGCGUAAUAGCUCACUAGUCGAGUGACACUGCGCCGAAAAUGUACCGGGGCUAAACAUAUUACCGAAGCUGUGGAUUGUCCUUUGGACAAUGGUAGGAGAGCGUUCU
This 1123-nucleotide ribosomal RNA is filed under the name Staphylococcus aureus. RNAcentral's name for it is "partial 23S ribosomal RNA". It matches the Rfam family "Bacterial large subunit ribosomal RNA", at positions 117 to 1242 of the family's 2925-position model. The record is from RNAcentral. Lineage: Bacteria; Bacillati; Bacillota; Bacilli; Caryophanales; Staphylococcaceae.